Molecule: ribosomal RNA, 650 nt
Filed under: uncultured bacterium
Lineage: Bacteria
Description: bacterial SSU rRNA
Rfam family: Bacterial small subunit ribosomal RNA
Source: RNAcentral
GAGUUUGAUCAUGGCUCAGGAUGAACGCUAGCUACAGGCUUAACACAUGCAAGUCGAGCGGUUUGUGUUUUUGCACAUUCAGCGGCAGACGGGUGAGUAACACGUAUCUAACCUUCCCCUUACUUGGGCAUAGCCUCUGGAAACGGAGAUUAAUUUCCGAUGUGGUGUACAUUUCGCAUGUUUUGCGCACCAAAGAUUUAUCGGUAAGGGAUGGGGAUGCGCUCCAUUAGGUAGUAGGUAGGGUAAUGGCCUACCUAGCCUAUGAUGGAUAGGGGUUCUGAGAGGAAGGUCCCCCACAUUGGAACUGCGACACGGUCCAAACUCCUACGGGAGGCAGCAGUGAGGAAUAUUGGUCAAUGGCCGGAAGGCUGAACCAGCCAAGUAGCGUGCAGGAUGACUGCCUUAUGGGUUGUAAACUGCUUUUUUACGGGAAUAAUUAUGAUCACGUGUGAUUAUUUGCAUGUACCGUAAGAAUAAGGAUCGGCUAACUCCGUGCCAGCAGCCGCGGUAAUACGGAGGAUCCUAGUGUUAUCCGGAUUUAUUGGGUUUAAAGGGAGCGUAGGCGGGAGGUCAAGUCAGCUGUGAAAUGUAUCUGCUUAACGGGUACACUGCAGUUGAAACUGGUUUUCUUGAGUGCGUAAGAGGCAGGC